CCUACGGGAGGCUGCAGUGAGGAAUAUUGGUCAAUGGCCGGAAGGCUGAACCAGCCAAGUCGCGUGAGGGAAUAAGGCCCUAUGGGUCGUAAACCUCUUUUGUCAGGGAGCAAAGGCGUCCACGUGUGGACGAGAGGAGAGUACCUGAAGAAAAAGCAUCGGCUAACCCCGUGCCAGCAGCCGCGGUAAUACGGAGUAUGCGAGCUUUAUCGGGUUUUUUGGGGUUAAAAGGGUGCGUAGGCGGUCGGUUAAGUCAGCGGUAAAGUUGCGGGGCUAAACCCCGACGAGCCGUUGAAACUGGCAGACUUGAGUUGGCGAGAGGUAGGCGGAAUGCGUGGUGUAGCGGUGAAAUGCAUAGAUAUCGCGCAGAACUCCGAUUGCGAAGGCAGCGUACCGGCGCCAGACUGACGCUGAGGCACGAAAGCGUGGGGAUCGAACAGGAUUAGAUACCCCGGUAGUC
Molecule: ribosomal RNA, 460 nt
Filed under: uncultured bacterium
Lineage: Bacteria
Description: partial 16S ribosomal RNA
Rfam family: Bacterial small subunit ribosomal RNA
Source: RNAcentral